This 93-nucleotide ribosomal RNA is filed under the name Orphella dalhousiensis. Its description in RNAcentral is "partial 28S ribosomal RNA". It matches the Rfam family "Eukaryotic large subunit ribosomal RNA", at positions 1 to 90 of the family's 3401-position model. The record is from RNAcentral. Lineage: Eukaryota; Fungi; Kickxellomycota; Orphellales; Orphellaceae.
AUUUGAUCUCAAAUCAGGUAAGGCUACCCGCUGAAUUUAAGCAUAUUAAUAAGCGGAGGAAAAGAAAAUAACAAUGAUUCCCCUAGUAACGGC